RNAcentral lists this non-coding RNA (23 nucleotides) under Arabidopsis thaliana (thale cress). The record is from RNAcentral. Lineage: Eukaryota; Viridiplantae; Streptophyta; Magnoliopsida; Brassicales; Brassicaceae.
CCACAAUACUACACUCCAUCGCC